UCAUCGACAGCCUGGUGUGUGAUAAAGUGCUUACAGUGCAGGUAGUGAUGAUUACCUGGUCUACUGCAGUGUGAGCACUUCUUUCCCACGCCGGACCAACUCGUC
RNAcentral lists this microRNA precursor (105 nucleotides) under Poecilia formosa (Amazon molly). RNAcentral's name for it is "miRNA (ENSPFOG00000021586.1)". The stretch from base 13 to 93 matches the Rfam family "mir-17 microRNA precursor family". Rfam says of the family: This family represents the microRNA (miRNA) precursor mir-17, family, which includes mir-20, mir-91, and mir-103. miRNAs are transcribed as ~70nt precursors (modelled here) and subsequently processed by the Dicer enzyme to give a ~22nt product. In this case the mature sequence comes from the 3' arm of the precursor. The record is from RNAcentral. Lineage: Eukaryota; Metazoa; Chordata; Actinopteri; Cyprinodontiformes; Poeciliidae.